AGUGAACGCUGGCGGUAGGCCUAACACAUGCAAGUCGAACGGCAGCACAGUAAGAGCUUGCUCUUACGGGUGGCGAGUGGCGGACGGGUGAGGAAUACAUCGGAAUCUACUUUUUCGUGGGGGAUAACGUAGGGAAGCUUACGCUAAUACCGCAUACGACCUACGGGUGAAAGCAGGGGAUCUUCGGACCUUGCGCGAUUGAAUGAGCCGAUGUCGGAUUAGCUAGUUGGCGGGGUAAAGGCCCACCAAGGCGACGAUCCGUAGCUGGUCUGAGAGGAUGAUCAGCCACACUGGAACUGAGACACGGUCCAGACUCCUACGGGAGGCAGCAGUGGGGAAUAUUGGACAAUGGGCGCAAGCCUGAUCCAGCCAUACCGCGUGGGUGAAGAAGGCCUUCGGGUUGUAAAGCCCUUUUGUUGGGAAAGAAAAGCAGCAGGUUAAUACCACGCUGUUCUGACGGUACCCAAAGAAUAAGCACCGGCUAACUUCGUG
Molecule: ribosomal RNA, 492 nt
Filed under: uncultured bacterium
Lineage: Bacteria
Description: partial 16S ribosomal RNA
Rfam family: Bacterial small subunit ribosomal RNA
Source: RNAcentral